RNAcentral lists this ribosomal RNA (464 nucleotides) under uncultured bacterium. RNAcentral describes it as "partial 16S ribosomal RNA". It matches the Rfam family "Bacterial small subunit ribosomal RNA", at positions 29 to 507 of the family's 1533-position model. The record is from RNAcentral.
ACGAACGCUGGCGGCGUGCUUAACACAUGCAAGUCGAACGGAAAGGCCCUGCUUGCAGGGUACUCGAGUGGCGAACGGGUGAGUAACACGUGGGUGAUCUGCCCUGCACUUCGGGAUAAGCUUGGGAAACUGGGUCUAAUACCGGAUAGGAGCCAUUUUUAGUGUGAUGGUUGGAAAGUUUUUUCGGUGUAGGAUGAGCUCGCGGCCUAUCAGCUUGUUGGUGGGGUAAUGGCCUACCAAGGCGGCGACGGGUAGCCGGCCUGAGAGGGUGGACGGCCACAUUGGGACUGGGAUACGGCCCAGACUCCUACGGGGGGCAGCAGUGGGGAAUAUUGCAAAAUGGGCGCAAGCCUGAUGCAGCGACGCCGCGUGGGGGAUGACGGCCUUCGGGUUGUAAACUCCUUUCGCUAGGGACGAAGCUUUUUGUGACGGUACCUAGAUAAGAAGCACCGGCUAACUACGUG